UUCUUUGAGAGUUUGAUCCUAGCUCAGGACGAACGCUGGCGGUGUGCCUAAGGUAUGCAAGUCGAGCGACCACUUUUUGAGCCGCAAGGCAAGGGAAGUGGGAGCGGCGAACGGGUGAGAAUAACGUGGGAAGAUACCCUCGGAUGGUGAAUACCUCGCCGAAAGGCGAGCUAAUGCACCGUGGUCUGCGUAGAGAAUUACGGUUCUCUAUUCAGUAUAGGUCGCCUUUGGCGACUGUCCGAGGAUUCGCCCAUGUCCUAUCAGCUAGUUGGUAAGGUAAAAGCUUACCAAGGCGAUGACGGGUAGGGGGCGUGAGAGCGCGUACCUCCACAAGGGCACUGAGACACGGGCCCUACACCUACGGGUGGCAGCAAUCGGGAAUUUUGCGCAAUGGACGAAAGUCUGACGCAGCGACACCGCGUGAGGGAUGACAGCCCUCGGGUUGUAAACCUUACUCAAAAAGCACCGGCUAACUACGUGCCAGCAGCAGCGGUAAAACGUAGGGUGCAAGCGUUGUCCGGAUUUAUUGGGCGUAAAGAGUUCUGUAGGCGGAAAGGAAAGUAGUCAGUAAAAUUCUUGGGCUCAACCCAAGACUGGCUGGCUAAACUACCUUUCUAGAAGUAGAGAGGGAGCAGCGGAACUGGUGGUGGAGCGGUAAAAUGCGUUGAUAUCACUAGGAACACCAAGGGCGAAGGCAGCUGCUUGGCUCUUUCUUGACGCUGAGAGACGAAAGCGUGGGGAGCGAAACGGAUUAGAUACCCGUGUAGUCCACGCUGUAAACAAUGGAUACUGGAUGCUUGUUCCUCGCCUUUGGCGAGGAGUGGGCGUCGAAGCUAACGCGUUAAGUAUCCCGCCUGGGAAGUACGGCCGCAAGGCUAAAACUCAAAGGAAUUGACGGGGACUCGCACAAGCGGUGAGGCAUGUGGUUUAAUACGAUAAUAACCGUAGGACCUUACCCAGGUUUGACAUGCACUUGCAAUCCGCCAGAAAUGGCGGAGAUCCUUCGAGGGUAGUGCACAGGUGUUGCAUGGCUGUCGUCAGCUCGAGUCGUGAGAUGUUAGGUUAAGUCCUUUAUCGAGCGCAACCCCUAUUGCUAGUUGUAUCACUCUAGCGAGACUGCCCGCGCAAGCGGGAGGAGGGUGGGGAUGACGUCAAGUCAGCAUGGCCUUUAUGCCUGGGGCCACACACAUGCGACAAUGGUCGGCACAACGGGUCGCAACUUUGUAAAAAGAAGCCAAUCCCUAAAAACCGAUCUCAGUUCGGAUUGAAGGCUGCAACUCGCCUUCAUGAAGUUGGAAUCGCUAGUAAUCGCCGGUCAGCUAUACGGCGGUGAAUACGUUCUCGGGUCUUGUACACACCGCCCGUCAAGCGAGGGAAGUCGAAAUCGCUCGAAGUGCCACGUCUGACGUGGCCCUAGAGCGAGGUCGGUAACCAGCGCUAAGUCGUAACAAGGUAGCCCUAGGGGAAUCUGGGGCUGGAUCACCUCCUUU
This 1490-nucleotide ribosomal RNA is filed under the name bacterium. Its description in RNAcentral is "bacterial SSU rRNA". It matches the Rfam family "Bacterial small subunit ribosomal RNA". The record is from RNAcentral.